CCAGAUAAAUGACUUAUCGCUUUAAUUAGUUUUAAAGAGGAAAGUCCGGGCUCUACAAAGACGCAGUGCCAGUUAAUAGCUGGCGGGGGCAACCCCAGGGAUAGUGCCACAGAGAAUAGACCGCCUGAUCAAGGCAAGGGUGAAAAGGUGCGGUAAGAGCGCACCGGCUGUUUGGUAACAAACAGCGCAUGGAAAACCCCACUGAGAGCAAGACCAAAUAGAGAUGGCAUGGCCUUUUGGCCGAAAACAGUUCUUAGUUAGCUAUCUGGGUUGGUUGCUAGAGGCUGAAUGUGAAUUUAGUCCCAGACAAAUGACUAAUUUGAAUGACAGAACCCGGCUUAUAGAUUGUCUGGCGUC
Molecule: RNase P RNA, 357 nt
Filed under: Planctomycetota bacterium
Lineage: Bacteria; Pseudomonadati; Planctomycetota
Description: RNase P RNA component class A
Rfam family: Bacterial RNase P class A
About the family: Ribonuclease P (RNase P) is a ubiquitous endoribonuclease, found in archaea, bacteria and eukarya as well as chloroplasts and mitochondria. Its best characterised activity is the generation of mature 5'-ends of tRNAs by cleaving the 5'-leader elements of precursor-tRNAs.
Source: RNAcentral